CGAAGGGUGCAAGCGUUACUCGGAAUUACUGGGCGUAAAGCGUGCGUAGGUGGUUCGUUAAGUCUGAUGUGAAAGCCCUGGGCUCAACCUGGGAAUGGCAUUGGAUACUGGCGACCUAGAGUGCGGUAGAGGGGUGUGGAAUUCCCGGUGUAGCAGUGAAAUGCGUAGAUAUCGGGAGGAACAUCUGUGGCGAAGGCGACACCCUGGACCAGCACUGACACUGAGGCACGAAAGCGUGGGGAGCAAACAGGAUUAGAUACCCUGGUAGUCCACGCCCUAAACGAUGCGAACUGGAUGUUGGGUGCAACUUGGCACUCAGUAUCGAAGCUAACGCGUUAAGUUCGCCGCCUGGGAAGUACGGUCGCAAGACUG
RNAcentral lists this ribosomal RNA (372 nucleotides) under uncultured organism. RNAcentral's name for it is "bacterial SSU rRNA". It matches the Rfam family "Bacterial small subunit ribosomal RNA", at positions 526 to 896 of the family's 1533-position model. The record is from RNAcentral.